UGAGAUAGGAUGGCUAGAGUAAUACUGAGUUUGAUUUUUUUUCUUUCCUUAUGUGGAAGCCUCCAAGGGGCUAGAUUUGGGUAUUUUCUUCUCCCAGGUCAGUUAGACUCUGAUAAAAUGCUAAAAGUUUAGGCUCUGGUAAGAUAGUUUCUCUUUAGGGCAGGCCUUAUUAAGAAAAAUAAAAUGCUCUGGCAUAUUUAAAAAUGGUUUCCUUUUUCCUCUCCUUUUCAGAAGCAUGGGAUGAUUUUUUCCCAAUAUUCACUGUGAGAAUCUGUCAG
Molecule: long non-coding RNA, 278 nt
Filed under: Homo sapiens (human)
Lineage: Eukaryota; Metazoa; Chordata; Mammalia; Primates; Hominidae
Description: HSALNT0283726
Source: RNAcentral